RNAcentral lists this ribosomal RNA (491 nucleotides) under uncultured bacterium. RNAcentral's name for it is "bacterial SSU rRNA". It matches the Rfam family "Bacterial small subunit ribosomal RNA", at positions 30 to 516 of the family's 1533-position model. The record is from RNAcentral.
AUUGAACGCUGGCGGCAUGCCUUACACAUGCAAGUCGAACGGUAACAGGUCUUCGGAUGCUGACGAGUGGCGAACGGGUGAGUAAUACAUCGGAACGUGCCCGAUCGUGGGGGAUAACGCAGCGAAAGCUGUGCUAAUACCGCAUACGAUCUACGGAUGAAAGCGGGGGACUCGCAAGGGCCUCGCGCGGACGGAGCGGCCGAUGGCAGAUUAGGUAGUUGGUGGGAUAAAAGCUUACCAAGCCGACGAUCUGUAGCUGGUCUGAGAGGACGACCAGCCACACUGGGACUGAGACACGGCCCAGACUCCUACGGGAGGCAGCAGUGGGGAAUUUUGGACAAUGGGCGCAAGCCUGAUCCAGCCAUGCCGCGUGCAGGAUGAAGGCCUUCGGGUUGUAAACUGCUUUUGUACGGAACGAAAAGCUCUCUCUAAUACAGGGGUGAAUGACGGUACCGUAAGAAUAAGCACCGGCUAACUACGUGCCAGCACGG